This 574-nucleotide ribosomal RNA is filed under the name Nigrospora oryzae. RNAcentral's name for it is "eukaryotic LSU rRNA". It matches the Rfam family "Eukaryotic large subunit ribosomal RNA", at positions 69 to 667 of the family's 3401-position model. Lineage: Eukaryota; Fungi; Ascomycota; Sordariomycetes; Amphisphaeriales; Apiosporaceae. The record is from RNAcentral.
AGGGUAUUCCCCUAGUACGGCGAGUGAAGCGGGAACAGCUCAAAUUUGAAAUCUGGCCCUCGGGUCCGAGUUGUAAUUUGUAGAGGAUGCUUUUGGUGCGGUGCCUUCCGAGUUCCCUGGAACGGGACGCCUUAGAGGGUGAGAGCCCCGUACGGUUGGACGCCUAGCCUCUGUAAAGCUCCUUCGACGAGUCGAGUAGUUUGGGAAUGCUGCUCUAAAUGGGAGGUAUAUUUCUUCUAAAGCUAAAUACUGGCCAGAGACCGAUAGCGCACAAGUAGAGUGAUCGAAAGAUGAAAAGCACUUUGAAAAGAGGGUUAAAUAGCACGUGAAAUUGUUGAAAGGGAAGCGUUUAUCACCAGACUUUUUCUGGGGGGAUCAUCCGGUGUUCUCACCGGUGCACUUCCCCCAGUUGAGGCCAGCAUCGGUUUUCGGAGGGGGAUAAAAGCUUCGGGAAUGUGACUCCCUCGGGAGUGUUAUAGCCCGUUGCAUAAUACCCUUCUGGGGACCGAGGUUCGCGCAUCUGCAAGGAUGCUGGCAUAAUGGUGAUCAACGACCCGUCUUGAAACACCGGACC